GAUGAACGCUGGCGGCGUGCCUAAUACAUGCAAGUCGAGCGAACAGACGAGGAGCUUGCUCCUCUGACGUUAGCGGCGGACGGGUGAGUAACACGUGGAUAACCUACCUAUAAGACUGGGAUAACUUCGGGAAACCGGAGCUAAUACCGGAUAAUAUAUUGAACCGCAUGGUUCAAUAGUGAAAGACGGUUUUGCUGUCACUUAUAGAUGGAUCCGCGCCGCAUUAGCUAGUUGAUAAGGUAACGGCUUACCAAGGCAACGAUGCGUAGCCGACCUGAGAGAGUGAUCGGCCACACUGGAACUGAGACACGGUCCAGACUCCUACGGGAGGCAGCAGUAGGGAAUCUUCCGCAAUGGGCGAAAGCCUGACGGAGCAACGCCGCGUGAGUGAUGAAGGUCUUCGGAUCGUAAAACUCUGUUAUUAGGGAAGAACAAAUGUGUAAGUAACUAUGCACGUCUUGACGGUACCUAAUCAGAAAGCCACGGCUAACUACGUG
RNAcentral lists this ribosomal RNA (497 nucleotides) under uncultured bacterium. RNAcentral's name for it is "partial 16S ribosomal RNA". It matches the Rfam family "Bacterial small subunit ribosomal RNA", at positions 28 to 507 of the family's 1533-position model. The record is from RNAcentral.